UGGGGAAUAUUGGACAAUGGGCGAAAGCCUGAUCCAGCAAUGCCGCGUGUGUGAAGAAGGUCUUCGGAUUGUAAAGCACUUUCGACGGGGACGAUGAUGACGGUACCCAUAGAAGAAGCCCCGGCUAACUUCGUGCCAGCAGCCGCGGUAAUACGAAGGGGGCUAGCGUUGCUCGGAUUGACUGGGCGUAAAGGGCGCGUAGGCGGUUUGUACAGUUGGGCGUGAAAUUCCUGGGCUUAACCUGGGGGCUGCGUUCAAUACGUGCAGGCUUGAGUUCGGAAGAGGGUCGUGGAAUUCCCAGUGUAGAGGUGAAAUUCGUAGAUAUUGGGAAGAACACCGGUGGCGAAGGCGGCGACCUGGUCCGAUACUGACGCUGAGGCGCGAAAGCGUGGGGAGCAAACAG
RNAcentral lists this ribosomal RNA (403 nucleotides) under uncultured bacterium. RNAcentral describes it as "bacterial SSU rRNA". It matches the Rfam family "Bacterial small subunit ribosomal RNA", at positions 355 to 775 of the family's 1533-position model. The record is from RNAcentral.